RNAcentral lists this transfer RNA (76 nucleotides) under compost metagenome. RNAcentral describes it as "tRNA-Ala". It matches the Rfam family "tRNA". From Rfam's summary of the family: Transfer RNA (tRNA) molecules are approximately 80 nucleotides in length. The record is from RNAcentral.
GGGGUCAUAGCUCAGUUGGGAGAGCGCCUGCCUUGCAAGCAGGAGGUCGAGAGUUCAAAUCUCUCUGGUUCCACCA